AACGUAGGAGCCAAGCGUUAUCCGAAUUCACUGGGCGUAAAGCGCGUGCAGGCGGCCUGGUAAGUUGGAUGUGAAAGCUCCUGGCUCAACUGGGAGAGGACGUUCAAUACUGUCAGGCUCGAGGGCAGCAGAGGGAGGUGGAAUUCCCGGUGUAGUGGUGAAAUGCGUAGAUAUCGGGAGGAACACCAGUGGCGAAGGCGGCCUCCUGGGCUGUACCUGACGCUCAGAUGCGAAAGCUAGGGGAGCGAACGGG
RNAcentral lists this ribosomal RNA (253 nucleotides) under uncultured bacterium. RNAcentral describes it as "partial 16S ribosomal RNA". It matches the Rfam family "Bacterial small subunit ribosomal RNA", at positions 524 to 776 of the family's 1533-position model. The record is from RNAcentral.